AGUUUGCACUCGUUUGAUCUUUGUUGACGACCACAUCAAGAGUGAUGUCUUGCCAUGCCCUCACAGGAGCAACAUCCUCUUUCGUGGUGUAGUUUGUGGUCUGAAUUGCUUUCUUCCUUGACGAACCAGAGGGUUGAAAUUGAUCCAGUUCAACCUAUUUGCCCUCCACAUGCAAUUGAUCAAAGUGACCCACCGAUUCCCCAUCAAGAACGAACUAUAGGUCGCAAUUGAAUCAUCCAUCGUUACUAAACGUCGAUCCUCCCAAAUGCACAAAUUCAUUACUACACACACAUACUGCACAAUUGCCACCAUUCUUCCAUCAUCACGUUGCAGUUAGUCAGAACAGUCUAAAGAGAAGGAAGGUUUUUUUUACCCCAUCGGUAAAUCUCCGAGUGCAACGUAGUGGAUACGCGCCCGAGUUUCGCCCUCCCUGGGAACAAAGGGGAGAGGGGGGACGCGGGACGACCCCGACGCACUUGCCUUCUUCCUUCGAUUCUUCACCGUGGAGCAUGUGGCGGAGGCCGACGCCCGGAGUUAACGCAUUAGUGGCAGCAUAGGGUUUGUCACUUUUGCACCCCAUUGAUGACAGGGUGGAGAAAGUGCUGGCCUAGGCGGUGGCAGGUUGUCGUCGAGGCCGGCGGAGGAGCGGGAAUCGCCCAGGAGGAGGAGGAUUCCAUAACGUUGACAUCAUCUGUGGGGUUGUGGGCGUCCGGAGACGGUGCCACAACGAGGGAGGAGUGUUGCGGCGAGAAGAGGAGCGGGGGGCGAAAUGUCACUCGCGCCAAACCGUUUUCCAAAUGGAGUGUGCUCCACAGAUCUCACCACAGCCUUCAAAUAUGGAGGGUCACGACUCGAUUUGAAGCGAUCCCCAACAUUUAUGCCACUGAAGCGAAGGAGGCGAUUCUGCUAGACCCGCUUUUUUCAACCAAAAUCGCCUGGCGUUCCUGCGUUCUGUCUCAUCUCCUCUCUUGUGUUUCUACCAUCUCUUGUUGAGAUAAGAGCCCGUCCCCUGUGGCUAAGCAUCUCCAUCGCGGACACUUGCGAGUCCACUCCCGGAAUUUCUUUGGCAGCGUACACUGUACAGCGCCUAGAGCUUUGAUGUUUUAGCAUGGAAUAAAAAUCGAGAGAUAUCUGUUGCCAAUGGAUUGGACGGUGAAAGGGGUGGGCUAGCUACCAUCAUCACCGGCCACCUGUUUCUUCUCUGUUGCUUUACUUGCACGGCUGCAACACCAACUCCUUCAGCUUUCACUUUCGGCCUAUAUGACGCUCUUCUACUCCAAGCAACAGGUCGGUCAAGAUUCGUGCCCGUUAAAAGCAGACAGGAAGGAAGAAGGCUCCGCCUCAUCAAGUGAGGGGGUGCCUCUGAGUUGGAUGCCAUGGUGCCGUGGAGGCUGGAGGCCCGCCUGGCGGAGACGGUGAGGGCGGCGCUCCUCGGCUGGCUCUUCUUCUGCAUCACCGUCGCCAGCGAUGUCGCACAUGCGCUCAGAAGCAGCGAUCUCUCCAUCUAAGACCGGCCACGUUCGACAUGGCCAAGACCGACUCUGUGCCUACAAAGUGGCAGUUCAUUGGGCGCACAGGAAGAAAAUUUAUUUACAGCAGUGUAACCAGUCAGUGAGUUCAUCCAUGAGAGAAUGAGUUCGAUGUAAAGGUGAAAUAUUCAUAUAGAUUAGAUGUAAAAUCUUGUGUCAAACAGAGAAAUACUGGCUAUUUGCUCAAA
This is a long non-coding RNA of Triticum aestivum (bread wheat), 1717 nucleotides long. RefSeq lists it as uncharacterized. The record is from RefSeq and is a predicted model, not a curated record. Lineage: Eukaryota; Viridiplantae; Streptophyta; Magnoliopsida; Poales; Poaceae. The transcript is spliced from 2 exons.